This 62-nucleotide transfer RNA is filed under the name Clavelina lepadiformis (light-bulb sea squirt). RNAcentral describes it as "tRNA-Thr". The record is from RNAcentral. Lineage: Eukaryota; Metazoa; Chordata; Ascidiacea; Aplousobranchia; Clavelinidae.
UUCAAAAUAAUUUAAUUAAAAAUAUAAAUUUUGUAAAUUUACAAUCCUUAUAGGUUUUGAAU